AUUGAACGCUGGCGGCAGGCCUAACACAUGCAAGUCGAGCGGAUGAAGGGAGCUUGCUCCUGGAUUCAGCGGCGGACGGGUGAGUAAUGCCUAGGAAUCUGCCUGGUAGUGGGGGAUAACGUCCGGAACGGGCGCUAAUACCGCAUACGUCCUGAGGGAGAAAGUGGGGGAUCUUCGGACCUCACGCUAUCAGAUGAGCCUAGGUCGGAUUAGCUAGUUGGUGGGGUAAAGGCCUACCAAGGCGACGAUCCGUAACUGGUCUGAGAGGAUGAUCAGUCACACUGGAACUGAGACACGGUCCAGACUCCUACGGGAGGCAGCAGUGGGGAAUAUUGGACAAUGGGCGAAAGCCUCAUCCAGCCAUGCCGCGUGUGUGAAGAAGGUCUUCGGAUUGUAAAGCACUUUAAGUUGGGAGGAAGGGCAGUAAGUUAAUACCUUGCUGUUUUGACGUUACCAACAGAAUAAGCACCGGCUAACUUCGUG
Molecule: ribosomal RNA, 483 nt
Filed under: uncultured bacterium
Lineage: Bacteria
Description: partial 16S ribosomal RNA
Rfam family: Bacterial small subunit ribosomal RNA
Source: RNAcentral